This 253-nucleotide ribosomal RNA is filed under the name uncultured bacterium. RNAcentral describes it as "partial 16S ribosomal RNA". It matches the Rfam family "Bacterial small subunit ribosomal RNA", at positions 524 to 776 of the family's 1533-position model. The record is from RNAcentral.
UACGUACUGUGCGAACGUUAUUCGGAAUUACUGGGCUUAAAGGGUGUGUAGGCGGCCAGCUAAGUAGGGUGUGAAAGGCCUCGGCCUAACCGGGGCAUUGCGCUCUAAACUGACUGGCUUGAGUGAGAUAGGGGUGUGCGGAACUUCCAGUGGAGCGGUGAAAUGUGUUGAUAUUGGAAGGAACGCCGGUGGCGAAAGCGGCACACUGGGUCUCGUCUGACGCUGAGACACGAAAGCCAGGGGAGCGAACGGG